Molecule: ribosomal RNA, 433 nt
Filed under: uncultured bacterium
Lineage: Bacteria
Description: partial 16S ribosomal RNA
Rfam family: Bacterial small subunit ribosomal RNA
Source: RNAcentral
AACGAACGCUGGCGGCAUGCCUAACACAUGCAAGUCGAACGAGACCUUCGGGUUUAGUGGCGUACGGGAGCGUAACGCGUAAGAACCUGCCCUUAGGUUCGGAAUAACCCUCCGAAAGGGGUGCUAAUACUGGAUAAUGUCUCCGGACCAAAGAAUUAUCGCUUUUGGAUGGGCACGUGUUGGAUUAGAUAGUUGGUAGGGUCAAAGCAUACCAAGGCGACGAUCCAUAGCUGGUCUGAGAGGAAGAUCAGCCACACUGGGCCUAGGACACGGCCCGGACUCCUACGGAAUGCAGGAGAGGGGAAUAUAGGACAGUGGGGGGAGUCCAGAACCAUCAAGGCUGGUAAAGUGAUGAAGUCCUUAGAGUUGUAAAGCGCAGUAACCCUAGAUGAUAGUGACGGUACCGAGAGAAUAAGCUCCGGCUAACUCCGUG